This is a long non-coding RNA of Pseudoliparis swirei, 948 nucleotides long. RefSeq lists it as uncharacterized. Lineage: Eukaryota; Metazoa; Chordata; Actinopteri; Perciformes; Liparidae. The record is from RefSeq and is a predicted model, not a curated record. The transcript is spliced from 4 exons.
UGGAGAACGCCACUUCGUCCUGCAAGGUGGAGAAGAUCAUCCUGGCGGUCGGCCACAACAGAGGGCAGAGUAAAGAGACAAUGGUCAAGCAAUUUUAUGCUUCAUAAACGUUUUUCCUGUUUAUCAUAGCAAUGGCCUUCCCAUCGCCGUCAAAGUUUCUGUUGCUCAAUGAACCGAAAGGCAAGGCCAUUGUGCAGGCAUUCCAAUUAUUGAGUGCAAGUACUGCUUGUGUCCUCAUAGCACCUGCUAAUUGAAGAUUCAUUCUCUCACAUCCUGUGUUUUUUCACCUACAGUAUGCCAUCAGGGAUGAGGCUGUCUCCAGACAUGUCCUGCCUGGAGACAUGCAGCGAGGCGGCCGCACACAUUGCCGUGCUGACCCGCCAAAAGAGGCAGAGCGAGGAGCGCAAUCGGUUCCUCCAAAAUGAAAUCGGCAUGAAGAAUGACUUCAUUCGCCGACUGGAGGAGCCGAAGCAAUCGGCAGCAUGACGUGCCAUGCGCAAGUCUCGCGCAGUUUGGAACGUGAGGUCCAAGAUCACGUUCCGAGCUGAACACACUUCCACGGCAUCUUUUCUAAAACAAUGGCCUUCCCAUCGCCGUCAAAGUUUCUGUUGCCCAAUGAACCGAAAGGCAAGGCAAUUGUGAAGGGAUUCCAAUUAUUGAUAUGCCAUCAGGGAUGAGGCUGUCUCCAGGCAGGACAUAUACAUUGCCGUGCUGACCCGCCAAAAGAGGCAGGGCGAGGAGCGCAAUCGUUCCUCCAAAAUGAAAUCGGCAUGAAGAAUGACCUCAUUCGCCGACUGGAGGAGCCGAAGCAAUCGGCAGCGUCUCAAGAUGACAUCGCUGACGAGGAGAUGCUCGCCGUUCCUCUUUUGGAGGAGGAAGAUGUAUUGUAAAUAUGUUGUUUGAUUGUUUAAAGUUGCGUUUGAUUAUUUAAUAAAAAUGUUAGCCCAA